UCUCUCUCUUCCUCAGACACUCACUCUCUCUCUCUCCCUCUCGAACGUACGAGCAACCACAAAAACCACCCAAAACUCUACCAUCGUCAGAUUUAAGGCUACCAUUGCAUUCCUGAGGACUCCACGAUCACGUAGGUACCAAUUUAAGGCCAAACUAAGCUCACAGUGAGCUUUAGGAAGUCCCAAGGAAGCUCGGAGUGUGUCGUUUGGAAGUUUUGGACGUCGGAAUCACUUAGUUCGACGUUUGGCCGAUUUCUUGAAAUUUUGGAAGGUGAGACUUAUAGCGAGGACGAGCACAUCCAGGGGCGUCAAGGGGGUUACGACCCGGCAACAUACCAGUUCUAGUUGAGGCGUUGGUGGCCUACGAGGACUUCUUCGGCGUUCUGACAGACUAAAUAAAUGUAGGAUUCACCCGAUGGUGUUGUAAAUUAGUUAUGGUCCUACUUGACUGCACCUAGACGCUUAUGCUCUGUUUAUGUGUGUUUAGUACACUCUUAUGCACAUAGAAUGCUAGGUUGUUAAUAACUGCAAUUAGUGGUUUUUGUUGGUUCGUAUUUUGUUA
Molecule: long non-coding RNA, 562 nt
Organism: Malus domestica (apple)
Lineage: Eukaryota; Viridiplantae; Streptophyta; Magnoliopsida; Rosales; Rosaceae
Source: RefSeq, a predicted model, not a curated record